CGGGYCUCGAUCCCGUAAUAAUUUAGUUAACAGCUAAACACCCAAUCCAGCGGGCUUCAACUUAUACUUCUCCCG
RNAcentral lists this transfer RNA (75 nucleotides) under Uroplatus phantasticus. Its description in RNAcentral is "tRNA-Asn". The record is from RNAcentral. Lineage: Eukaryota; Metazoa; Chordata; Lepidosauria; Squamata; Gekkonidae.